Molecule: ribosomal RNA, 1279 nt
Filed under: Escherichia coli
Lineage: Bacteria; Pseudomonadati; Pseudomonadota; Gammaproteobacteria; Enterobacterales; Enterobacteriaceae
Description: partial 23S ribosomal RNA
Rfam family: Bacterial large subunit ribosomal RNA
Source: RNAcentral
GUAAGGUGAUAUGAACCGUUAUAACCGGCGAUUUCCGAAUGGGGAAACCCAGUGUGUUUCGACACACUAUCAUUAACUGAAUCCAUAGGUUAAUGAGGCGAACCGGGGGAACUGAAACAUCUAAGUACCCCGAGGAAAAGAAAUCAACCGAGAUUCCCCCAGUAGCGGCGAGCGAACGGGGAGCAGCCCAGAGCCUGAAUCAGUAUGUGUGUUAGUGGAAGCGUCUGGAAAGGCGCGCGAUACAGGGUGACAGCCCCGUACACAAAAAUGCACAUGCUGUGAGCUCGAUGAGUAGGGCGGGACACGUGGUAUCCUGUCUGAAUAUGGGGGGACCAUCCUCCAAGGCUAAAUACUCCUGACUGACCGAUAGUGAACCAGUACCGUGAGGGAAAGGCGAAAAGAACCCCGGCGAGGGGAGUGAAAAAGAACCUGAAACCGUGUACGUACAAGCAGUGGGAGCACGCUUAGGCGUGUGACUGCGUACCUUUUGUAUAAUGGGUCAGCGACUUAUAUUCUGUAGCAAGGUUAACCGAAUAGGGGAGCCGAAGGGAAACCGAGUCUUAACUGGGCGUUAAGUUGCAGGGUAUAGACCCGAAACCCGGUGAUCUAGCCAUGGGCAGGUUGAAGGUUGGGUAACACUAACUGGAGGACCGAACCGACUAAUGUUGAAAAAUUAGCGGAUGACUUGUGGCUGGGGGUGAAAGGCCAAUCAAACCGGGAGAUAGCUGGUUCUCCCCGAAAGCUAUUUAGGUAGCGCCUCGUGAAUUCAUCUCCGGGGGUAGAGCACUGUUUCGGCAAGGGGGUCAUCCCGACUUACCAACCCGAUGCAAACUGCGAAUACCGGAGAAUGUUAUCACGGGAGACACACGGCGGGUGCUAACGUCCGUCGUGAAGAGGGAAACAACCCAGACCGCCAGCUAAGGUCCCAAAGUCAUGGUUAAGUGGGAAACGAUGUGGGAAGGCCCAGACAGCCAGGAUGUUGGCUUAGAAGCAGCCAUCAUUUAAAGAAAGCGUAAUAGCUCACUGGUCGAGUCGGCCUGCGCGGAAGAUGUAACGGGGCUAAACCAUGCACCGAAGCUGCGGCAGCGACGCUUAUGCGUUGUUGGGUAGGGGAGCGUUCUGUAAGCCUGUGAAGGUGUGCUGUGAGGCAUGCUGGAGGUAUCAGAAGUGCGAAUGCUGACAUAAGUAACGAUAAAGCGGGUGAAAAGCCCGCUCGCCGGAAGACCAAGGGUUCCUGUCCAACGUUAAUCGGGGCAGGGUGAGUCGACCCCUAAGGCGA